GCUACCUCUGUAUUAAUGUGUGUAGGUGUAAAGUAUGAAAAUGCAUCUGCUGAAGAUGGAUUCAUGUCUCCAUAUGCUACCUCUAUAUUAAUGUGUGUAGGUGUAAAGUAUGAAAAUGCAUCUGCUGAAGAUGGAUUCAUGUCUCCAUAUGCUACCUCUGUAUCAACAGCAUUUACUAAUUAUGCGAACUUUCAUGAGAACUGUGUAAAUUCCUCUGUCACAUUAUAUAUGCAAUGGGCUCCAUAUAUUAUCAUCAUUGAGACCCUCCUGAUGAUUAUGGUUGAAAAAAUGUUCCUGAAAAUGCCCCGGGUUGCGGGAAGAAUUGAGAGAUUCUACAACAACAUUGUAGAAGAAUCCUUGUUUGGAAAGGAUCCUGAUGUAGCUGAGGAUGUUUCUGAUGACAAGGCAAACACUGAAGCAAUAUCUCGCAAAAGACGUAGAAACGAGGUCUGUAUGUCAUUAAAGACAUCAAAUGUUAUAAGUCAAUCCUAUGUUCUCAAGAACAUCAUGGAGAUCUGUAUGUUAGCAAUCAUCAUUCCAUUCAACAUAUAUUUUACAAUUGAGGCUGAAGUAAAUCUGAAUCCUAAUGUUUGUAAGCUUGAAAUACUUCAUCUUCCCGAUCUUGGCUUUGCAAAUGGUUCCGUCUAUUUCCAAUGUAUGGGUAAAAAGAUCCAGUUUUUUCUGACCAUAAUCUUGGUUCAAGUGGCUUUCCAGACUGCUGUUAUUUUUACAAGUCUUGGAUCUCUGAUUUGGUGCCUGUUUGGUAGAAGUAUCUCCAGGAUGUUGAACAAAAUUCAACAAGACGUUAAUUUCAAGGAUAUUGAACCUGUUAUUGGAUCAGACUUUAUAUUUUUGAUGGAUCUUCUUGCUCAUUCCUCAGGUCUGGAAUCUACCCUAAGAGUGUUAACCCACUCGGAUGAAACUUUCCGAAGAAUCUGUUUACCCAGGUUGACCUUUGACGCAGACCAUAUUAUGGCAGAAGAAACUAGUCUGACAAUAACUUGGUCUGCAGCUAAAAUAGAGGAAUGGUUGGUUGAGCAUUCUCAUCGAGGAAUAAUGGUUGACUGCUAUGAUGUCACCAUAUUUCCUGCUGAGUCUAUUAAGAAUACAGUCAGCAAGAAGGCAAAGCUGAAAAAAGCUCGGCAAGAGCUUUUGGACAUUGACAACAAUUACACCGCAUGCUUUACUGAUUUGGAAGGUGGUAGAACAGAAUACAUUGUAACGAUCGCCUGUGUGAUUGGCAGGUCUAGAAUGAAAGGUGAAAGAAUCGUCACAAAUCUUUUACCUUUUGGACCAGUCAAACCAAGGAAUGGAAUGUGUAAAAGUACAGAGACUCAUGAAGUGGAGAUAUCAUGGGAAACACCAAAAGGAGACUUUACCAAAUAUGUUCUUAUAGUUGAUCCUAUUCUGGAUGCUGCUAAACCAGAUGGAAGAGAAGGAAAACUGCAAUCUUCAAGUGGAAUAAGAUUUAAUGAUAGAGAAUCUGUAGAUAUGGACUUGAAUCCAAGCCUCAUGCCAAAUGGUCUGCAAGAGAUAGAAAUUAGCAGCAAAGCUACUUGUUUUUCCUUAACAAAUCUUUCUCCCGGAGAGGCUUACAAAAUAGAAUUGAAAACCAAGACCGGGGAUAAGGUGACACGAAAACCAAUAGCAGAAACAGUUUUAACCAAGCCAGAAACAAUAUCUUCACUUACAGUGUCUGAAAUCAAUACAGAUAAUAUAACUGUGAGAUGGGUUGCUCCAGUAGGUCAUUCAAGACUAAAAGCUUAUAAGCUCACAUGCCAAUCAAAGGAUCUUAGUUUCCUGCGAGAACUUUCUGUGAAGCAUAGAAGUGAAAUUCCAGUAAAUUCCUUCAAGUUUGAGAACCUUCCCCCAGCAACUGAAUUAUCAGUGAUUAUAAGCAGUGUUUGUGUUAUUGAUAACCUACAGAGCGCUUCAGAGGAAGCAAAGAUUCAUUUUAUCACUCUACCACUACCACCAAGAAGCCUAGAAUUAGAAUCAAGGUUGACCAACAGUUUUAUCGUUAAGUGGGAAGCUCCUAAAGUGACCUUUUCAGCACACAGGUUCAAACUAAGCAUCCAGUGUACAGAGAUUGGGUAUAGCAGUGAGCAUGAAGUUAAUGGGGACAAGAGAACAUUCAACUUCUCUAAACUUCCAGAUAUUAUAGGCACAGGAGAAUGUUACAAAGUCUGUAUUUCCUACAUAGUCAACCCUCCAGGUUCAAGUCUAGAGGUUGAAUCGUCCAUAGUUUGUGAAAACUUCUACACUAAACCCCUUCCUCCAACUCAAUUAAUCCUUGGACCAGGAAACCUCAUCACUUGGACUAAUUCACCUUCAAAAUAUGUUAGUUUGUAUAAGUUGAAGUAUAAGAGUAUGGAUGAAGAAGGAAGAUCUGAAGAGAUCUUUGUUCCAGUAAAGCCUGGAGAAGAAACAUCCUCUACAAUACUAAACACCCUGAUAUUUGAAACACCCUACAAGAUCAAUAUCUAUGGUCUACUGGAGACUAGUGAUCAAGAGAACCUAGAGAGUAAAGAACUUCAUGAAAAAAUCCUACAGACUGACUCUGGACUGGUUGUGUAUGAUGAUGACGUAGAAAGACUGGGAGCAAGUUAAAUGGAAAUGUUUGGUUAAUUACAUCAAGUUGUCUACAAAAUGUACAAUUUGGCGAAUAUAUUAUAAAUAUGAUUUUAAAUUUUAGUGUAAUUUAUUAUGCUUAUUCUUGUUCUGCACCCACACUCUGAGAUGCAGGUCAUUAUUCUUCAUUACUGGUAGUCCUGGAGUCCUGGGUUGGGAGAAAUCAACAGAAUGGAUUUUAUUUCAAUAUUGUAGUUAUUUAUGUUAGAUAUUUAUUUUAUUCCUACAUUUGUUUCAUUUACUAGAUAUUCAAAAUUCAUUGAAAGGCCUCAUAAUUGAUUCUUUUACUUUCAGAUACUUUAUAUAUUGAUUUCGAUAUCUGAUUCUGAUAUAGACCAGUUAUCAUAUCAAUAUCAAAUCUGAUAAAUCUACUGAGGAAGCUUCAGUAUUCUCUAUUUAUAUUGUCAGAGAAAGAAACUAUGACCUUCACAGUAGUUAGAGAAUUAGCUGCAUUGGUCCUAAAAUCCAAACCAACUUUGAAACCUUGGUAAGCCGUUACCGUUAACUGCGGCACAUUUCUAACAAAAACUGUAGUGUUUAGGAAGAACUAAAACAUAUUUAAAACAAAAAGGAGUAUAGUUCUCAUUAUUAGAAGACUUAAGAUUGAUUGAUUGAUUGAUGGAUACGUUCGUAUUCUGCAAUAAUAUUAUCAAUCAAAGCUGGAUUUUGCCACGGGUCGAUGAGAAGAAAACCAUGACAAAGAUGUGGCAAAAUACAGGAGUAAAGAACCAGGAAACUUUCCCUUUCCACCUGAUACUUAAGCACAAUUCUGAUAUUUUUAAAUAUAUUUUAACUUUUAAGGUUUUCACUGAAUU
Molecule: RNA transcript, 3446 nt
Organism: Eurytemora carolleeae
Lineage: Eukaryota; Metazoa; Arthropoda; Copepoda; Calanoida; Temoridae
Exons: 27
Source: RefSeq, a predicted model, not a curated record